CAAUGAAUUGACGGGGCCCGCACAAGCGGUGGAGUAUGUGGUUUAAUUCGAUGCAACGCGAAGAACCUUACCUGGUCUUGACAUCCCGGAGACCCUUAGGAAACUAGGGGGUGCUUCCAUCUGGAAGAAUCUGGAGACAGGUGCUGCAUGGCUGUCGUCAGCUCGUGUCGUGAGAUGUUGGGUUAAGUCCCGCAACGAGCGCAACCCUUGCCUUUAGUUGCCAGCAGUUCGGCUGGGCACUCUAAAGGGACUGCCGGUGUUAAACCGGAGGAAGGUGGGGAUGACGUCAAGUCCUCAUGGCCUUUAUGACCAGGGCUACACACGUACUACAAUGGCCGAUACAAAGGGCAGCGACACUGCGAGGUGAAGCCAAUCCCGUAAAAUCGGUCUCAGUCCGGAUUGGAGUCUGCAACUCGACUCCAUGAAGUUGGAAUCGCUAGUAAUCGUGGAUCAGCAUGCCACGGUGAAUACGUUCCCGGGCCUU
RNAcentral lists this ribosomal RNA (484 nucleotides) under uncultured Desulfobulbus sp. RNAcentral's name for it is "bacterial SSU rRNA". It matches the Rfam family "Bacterial small subunit ribosomal RNA", at positions 904 to 1382 of the family's 1533-position model. The record is from RNAcentral. Lineage: Bacteria; Pseudomonadati; Thermodesulfobacteriota; Desulfobulbia; Desulfobulbales; Desulfobulbaceae.